Molecule: ribosomal RNA, 897 nt
Filed under: uncultured bacterium
Lineage: Bacteria
Description: bacterial SSU rRNA
Rfam family: Bacterial small subunit ribosomal RNA
Source: RNAcentral
UGGCGGCGUGGUUAAGACAUGCAAGUCGAACGGGAUUUUUUGUGUAGUAAUACAUAAAAAGUCUAGUGGCGAACGGGUGCGUAACACGUGAGCAAUCUGCCGGGAAGUGGGGGAUAGCUCGCCGAAAGGCGAAUUAAUACCGCAUGUGGCCAGAGGGGACAUCCCUUCGACGCCAAAGUCGCAAGACGCUUCCUGAUGAGCUCGCGGCCUAUCAGCUUGUUGGUGAGGUAAUGGCUCACCAAGGCUUUGACGGGUAGCUGGUCUGAGAGGACGACCAGCCACACUGGAACUGAGACACGGUCCAGACACCUACGGGUGGCAGCAGUCGAGAAUUUUUCACAAUGGGGGCAACCCUGAUGGAGCGACGCCGCGUGGAGGAUGAAGGUCUUCGGAUUGUAAACUCCUGUCAUGCGAGAGCAAGAAAGUGAUAGUAUCGCAAGAGGAAGAGACGGCUAACUCUGUGCCAGCAGCCGCGGUAAUACAGAGGUCUCAAGCGUUGUUCGGAUUCAUUGGGCGUAAAGGGUGCGUAGGUGGCGUGGAAAGUUGAGUGUGAAAUCCUAGGGCUUAACCUUAGAACUGCACUCAAUACUCCCAUGCUAGAAGAAUGUAGAGGAGAGUGGAAUUCACGGUGUAGCAGUGAAAUGCGUAGAUAUCGUGAGGAAGACCAGUUGCGAAGGCGACUCUCUGGGCAUUUCCUGACACUGAGGCACGAAGGCCAGGGGAGCAAACGGGAUUAGAUACCCCGGUAGUCCUGGNAGUAAACGGUGCACAUUUGGUGUGGGCGGGUUCAGACCCCGUCCGUGCCGGANCUAACGCGUUAAAUGUGCCGCCUGGGAAGUACGGUCGCAAGAUUAAAACUCAAAGAAAUUNGACGGGGGCCCGCACAAGCGGUGGAGU